RNAcentral lists this ribosomal RNA (447 nucleotides) under uncultured bacterium. Its description in RNAcentral is "bacterial SSU rRNA". It matches the Rfam family "Bacterial small subunit ribosomal RNA", at positions 328 to 793 of the family's 1533-position model. The record is from RNAcentral.
UCAGUCGACUCCUACGGGAGGCAGCAGUGGGGAAUCUUGGACAAUGGGGGCAACCCUGAUCCAGCCAUGCCGCGUGAGUGAUGAAGGCCUUAGGGUCGUAAAGCUCUUUCGCCUGUGAUGAUAAUGACAGUAGCAGGUAAGAAACCCCGGCUAACUCCGUGCCAGCAGCCGCGGUAAUACGGAGGGGUUAGCGUUGUUCGGAAUUACUGGGCGUAAAGCGCGCGUAGGCGGAUUAGUCAGUUAGAGGUGAAAUCCCAGGGCUCAACCCUGGAACUGCCUUUAAUUACUGCUAGUCUUGAGUUCGAGAGAGGUGAGUGGAAUUCCGAGUGUAGAGGUGAAAUUCGUAGAUAUUCGGAGGAACACCAGUGGCGAAGGCGGCUCACUGGCUCGAUACUGACGCUGAGGUGCGAAAGUGUGGGGAGCAAACAGGAUUAGAUACCCUGGUAG